CAAGAAAAGGUCAGGAUAGCUCAGUUGGUAGAG
This 33-nucleotide transfer RNA is filed under the name Poa saltuensis. RNAcentral's name for it is "partial tRNA-Phe". The record is from RNAcentral. Lineage: Eukaryota; Viridiplantae; Streptophyta; Magnoliopsida; Poales; Poaceae.